Molecule: ribosomal RNA, 507 nt
Filed under: uncultured bacterium
Lineage: Bacteria
Description: bacterial SSU rRNA
Rfam family: Bacterial small subunit ribosomal RNA
Source: RNAcentral
CAGAGAUGCUUGUGGCCUUCGGGAACUCUGAGACAGGUGCUGCAUGGCUGUCGUCAGCUCGUGUUGUGAAAUGUUGGGUUAAGUCCCGCAACGAGCGCAACCCUUAUCCUUUGUUGCCAGCGGUCCGGCCGGGAACUCAAAGGAGACUGCCAGUGAUAAACUGGAGGAAGGUGGGGAUGACGUCAAGUCAUCAUGGCCCUUACGAGUAGGGCUACACACGUGCUACAAUGGCGCAUACAAAGGGAAGCGACCUCGCGAGAGCAAGCGGACCUCAUAAAGUGCGUCGUAGUCCGGAUUGGAGUCUGCAACUCGACUCCAUGAAGUCGGAAUCGCUAGUAAUCGUGGAUCAGAAUGCCACGGUGAAUACGUUCCCGGGCCUUGUACACACCGCCCGUCACACCAUGGGAGUGGGUUGCAAAAGAAGUAGGUAGCUUAACCUUCGGGAGGGCGCUUACCACUUUGUGAUUCAUGACUGGGGUGAAGUCGUAACAAGGUAAGCGUAGUGCU